AGUGAGCGCUGGCGGUAGGCCUAACACAUGCAAGUCGAACGGCAGCACAGUAAGAGCUUGCUCUUACGGGUGGCGAGUGGCGGACGGGUGAGGAAUACAUCGGAAUCUACUUUUUCGUGGGGGAUAACGUAGGGAAACUUACGCUAAUACCGCAUACGACCUACGGGUGAAAGCAGGGGAUCUUCGGACCUUGCGCGAGUGAAUGAGCCGAUGUCGGAUUAGCUAGUUGGCGGGGUAAAGGCCCACCAAGGCGACGAUCCGUAGCUGGUCUGAGAGGAUGAUCAGCCACACUGGAACUGAGACACGGUCCAGACUCCUACGGGAGGCAGCAGUGGGGAAUAUUGGACAAUGGGCGCAAGCCUGAUCCAGCCAUACCGCGUGGGUGAAGAAGGCCUUCGGGUUGUAAAGCCCUUUUGUUGGGAAAGAAAAGCAGCAGGUUAAUACCCCGCUGUUCUGACGGUACCCAAAGAAUAAGCACCGGCUAACUUCGUG
RNAcentral lists this ribosomal RNA (492 nucleotides) under uncultured bacterium. Its description in RNAcentral is "partial 16S ribosomal RNA". It matches the Rfam family "Bacterial small subunit ribosomal RNA", at positions 29 to 507 of the family's 1533-position model. The record is from RNAcentral.